GCAGGAAAUAAUGGAGCAAGAGGGCUGAAUGGAGCUCCUGGCAUUGAAGGGCCAUUUGGUUUACCUGGACUCACAGGAUUGAGGGGUUACCCAGGGCUCGAUGGUCCUCCAGGACUGACUGGCUUACCAGGAUUUCCAGGAAAAAAAGGACGACAGGGUCAGAGCAACGUGGAUGGACAAGAGGGACCUGCUGGACGUCCAGGUCCCAGGGGAGAGAUUGGACUUCCUGGACCACCUGGAGAAAGGGGACCGCCUGGUCAGAAGGGAGAACUGGGACUGCCAGGGGAAAGAGGAGCCUCUGGAAUCAAAGGCCUGGAGGGGACUUCAGGUGACCAGGGCAGGAAAGGUGACCUGGGACCCAAAGGACAGCCAGGCGAAUCUGGUGAUCUGGGAAUGGUUGGUUUACAGGGCUUUCCAGGACCAAUGGUAA
RNAcentral lists this long non-coding RNA (430 nucleotides) under Cottoperca gobio. Its description in RNAcentral is "lncRNA (ENSCGOG00000019045.1)". The record is from RNAcentral. Lineage: Eukaryota; Metazoa; Chordata; Actinopteri; Perciformes; Bovichtidae.